This 2050-nucleotide long non-coding RNA is filed under the name Rattus norvegicus (Norway rat). Its description in RNAcentral is "long non-coding RNA NONRATT021923". Lineage: Eukaryota; Metazoa; Chordata; Mammalia; Rodentia; Muridae. The record is from RNAcentral.
CCCUUUCGGCUGCUCAAGUCCCUAUAAAAACAGCUCAGCCUUCCCCAGCAGCAUGUAGGAGCCUCUCCCCUCUGCUGUUGCGCCAGACACAGAGGCAGACUCACAGGACACCCGAGACAUCAUGAAGAGCCUGCUCCCUCUGGCCAUCCUGGCUGCGCUGGCCGUGGCAGCCCUGUGCUAUGGUGAGAAACCUCUCUCCCCGCUGUCUGUGGGGUUUUCCCUUCCAACCUCAGGCUUCCCUUCCCGGUUACUGUCACUCUCCCCUCCGUCCUCAUCUCUCCCGUUCUCUAUGACAAGCCAGAGUAUCGCGAAGUAACUUUCCCUGUUUCCACGGUCACGGGUCAUUCCAGAGCAUCUGUUUUGUAUUCUCUAUAUCCCAACGGGUGUGAGCUAUUUUUACAGGGGAGCCCUUUCGGGGAUAAAUCCACACACCUGGAAACCAAGAUGUUUCCAGGGAUGUGCCAGUUCCCGCCGCUAUAACCUUACUUUAAGAACUCUUCUCGGACUUGAGCAUCGAUGGAUUAAGGAUACUGCGUGGGUCAUUUACUUUAAGAAAAUAAGUUCUCAUGGCAAGUAUUAGAGAGAGCCUUUUUUAGGAGCAGAAGAAAUACCAUGUGUUUGGUGUGUUUAUUCAGCGAGUUUAUUUUUAAAAGAAACUUUAGAGCUGAAUUUUUAGAAAAGCAUCCAUUUCACAAUUGUUUGCAAAGGAUAAUUUUUUUCCUGCUACCUAUAUGUCGUUAAGUCAUAUGUGAUUUGUUCACGGGGUUGAAGCCAAAUCACUUACCUAGUUCUGCUUAAAUUGUUUUGGUUAUAUCUAGUUGUUAAAAUCUAAAUUGCAUAAACGGCUCUAAUGUUUCGGCUCUCGAUUUUUGAAUUAUUCAUAAACCUUUCUGCAUAUGUUCUUGCUUUCCUUGUCCCUUUCUCAUUUCUCGGGCAGACAGACACUUAUAAACACAGUCUCUUCUUCCCACCUUGCCCUCUGGGCUCCUUGGAGAGACAUAGAAAGAAACACUCGCUUUGACGUCCUCUCCGCCCUGGCUCCGUGCCCAGUUUUGAGCAGGGAGAGGGAGCCGGUGGUUUCUGAGGCUGCCAAUUUAACACCCGUCCUUAAGAGCUGUUCCGAACCCUCUUAGAAGCUGUCUGGGUCACGCAGCUCAAUAACUACCCUGGAGCUCCCUGAACCGAGCUGUUGCUGUAUACCCAACUUUAACUCCCUUCAGUCCAGUCUCAAAACGGCCGCUGAGUACAUCGAUGAGAGGGCGUUCUAGAAACUCCUUGUGACACAGAGCGCAUGGACCUGUGAGUUAUGUCUGAGAAUUUCAGUGGCCUCAGGAAAUCUUAGCCCCAACUGUCAACUACCUCCAAUCUCAGCAGAUGGGCAAGGAUGGAGACACCCAAAACAAAGAUAUAAAUAAAUUAUUCAUAAUUCCUAUAUGACCAGAAUUUCCUAACAACCACCUUGCUAAAUGCGCCCCUACCAUCUUUUCGCCUCUUCUUUUCCCAUUCCACCUCUGCAUUUAGAAAAUGACUGCAUGUGGCAAAAAAAAAAAAAAAAAAAAAGCCUAAAAUGAGUCUUUCUUUUGAAUUCCAGAAUCUCACGAAAGCAUGGAAUCCUAUGAAGUCAGUCCCUUCACCAACCGGAGAAAUGCCAACACCUUUAUAUCCCCUCAGCAGAGAUGGCACGCUAAAGCCCAGGAAAGAGUCCGGGAACUCAACAAGCCUGCCCAGGAGAUCAACAGGGAGGCCUGUGAUGACUACAAGCUGUGUGAGCGCUACGCCCUGAUCUACGGGUACAACGCCGCCUACAACCGCUACUUCAGGCAGCGCCGAGGAGCCAAAUAAGAGCGCAAGGAAACAGUCGCUUUGUUACGGAGUCUGGUUUCAUAUUCCCCUGCAGUAGCAUUACCGAUACACAGAUUCGUGUGCGUUGCUUGUUCCUCACAUGAUCUUCUGUCUGGCUGGGCCACUCCUUCCUUCCGCGGGUUGAAAGUAAUGAAAGAGCAGUAUUAAGAAAUGUGUUUAUAUAUAAUAAAAUUCUGGUUUGAUACUU